RNAcentral lists this transfer RNA (77 nucleotides) under Candidatus Shapirobacteria bacterium. RNAcentral's name for it is "tRNA-Thr". It matches the Rfam family "tRNA". Rfam says of the family: Transfer RNA (tRNA) molecules are approximately 80 nucleotides in length. The record is from RNAcentral. Lineage: Bacteria; Candidatus Shapironibacteriota.
GCCAAAGUAGCUCAGUCGGCUAGAGCGCGGCUUUCGUAAAGCCGAGGUCGAGAGUUCGAUUCUCUCCUUUGGCUCAA